This 69-nucleotide transfer RNA is filed under the name Marmota monax (woodchuck). RNAcentral describes it as "tRNA.Ala". The record is from RNAcentral. Lineage: Eukaryota; Metazoa; Chordata; Mammalia; Rodentia; Sciuridae.
GGUGCUGUAGCUCAGUGGUAGAGCUCUUGCCUAGCAUGUGUGAUCCACUGGGUUUGAUCCUCAGCACUG